CCCUUAGAUGUUCUGGGCCGCACACGCGCUACACUGAAGGAGGCAGCGUGUACUCCUGGAUCGAAAGAUUUGGGUAACCCGCGAAUCUCCUUCGUGCUAGGGAUUGAGGUUUGCAAUUAUCCUUCAUGAACGAGGAAUUCCCAGUAAGGGCAAGUCAUAAGCUUGCGCUGACUACGUCCCUGCCCUUUGUACACACCGCCCGUCGCUACUACCGAUUGAAUGAUUUAGUGAGGACUUCGGACUGGGACCGAUGCGGCUUUCGGGCUGCGUCGGUAUUCUGGAAAGAUGUCCAAACUGUAUCAUUUAGAGGAAGUAAAAGUCGUAACA
This 327-nucleotide ribosomal RNA is filed under the name uncultured eukaryote. Its description in RNAcentral is "partial 18S ribosomal RNA". It matches the Rfam family "Eukaryotic small subunit ribosomal RNA", at positions 1470 to 1796 of the family's 1831-position model. The record is from RNAcentral.